RNAcentral lists this ribosomal RNA (475 nucleotides) under uncultured bacterium. RNAcentral describes it as "SSU rRNA". It matches the Rfam family "Bacterial small subunit ribosomal RNA", at positions 26 to 518 of the family's 1533-position model. The record is from RNAcentral.
AGGACGAACGCUGGCGGCGUGCUUAACACAUGCAAGUCGAGCGGAAAGGCCCUUCGGGGUACUCGAGCGGCGAACGGGUGAGUAACACGUGAGCAACCUGCCCUUAGCUUCGGGAUAGCUCCGGGAAACCGGAAUUAAUACCGAAUAUGAUUUUUGCUGACAUCAGCAGAAGUGGAAAGUUUUUCGGCUAGGGAUGGACUCGCGGCCUAUCAGCUAGUUGGUGAGGUAACGGCCCACCAAGGCGACGACGGGUAGCCGGCCUGAGAGGGCGACCGGCCACGACCUGGGACUGAGACACGGCCCAGACUCCUACGGGAGGCAGCAGUGGGGAAUAUUGCGCAAUGGGCGAAAGCCUGACGCAGCGACGCCGCGUGGGGGAUGGAAUGCCUUCGGGUUGUAAACCCUUCAGCAGGGACGAAGCGAAAGUGACGGUACCUGCAGAAGAAGCGCCGGCUAACUACGUGCCAGCAGCCGC